UUAAACUAUUAUAUAAAAGUUAAUUAAUUUAAUAUAAAUAAUAUGAAAUAGUAAAUAAAAAAUUUGUAUCAAAAAUUAAUUUUUAAUGGUGAAAUAUAAAAAAUUAUAAAUUUAUACAAUUUAAUUUUAUAUAAUUUUUAAGGUUAAAAAAAUAAACUAGGAUUAGAUACCCUAUUAUAUUGAAGUAAAAUUUUUAAUAUUAAAGUAUUAAAUGUUAAAUCAUUAAAUUUAUAAGAUUUGGCGGUAUUUUAUACAAAUUAGGGGAACUUGUUUAGUAAUUGAUGAACCACGAUAAGAAUUACUUAAUUUAAUAUUUAUGUAUUGCUGUUUAAAAAUAUAUUUUAAGAAUAUACAUUAUAAUUUAUAAAAAUAAAAUAAUUCAAGUCAAAAUAUAGUUUAAUUAAGAUAAAAUGAGUUACAAAAAAAUUAAUUUAUAUGAAUUUUUAUAUUUAAAAAUAAAAUGAAGGUGGAUUUAAGAGUAAAUUUAAUAAAUAAAUUAAUUUGAAAUUUUGUUUUAAAAU
RNAcentral lists this ribosomal RNA (521 nucleotides) under Ancistrocerus nigricornis. RNAcentral's name for it is "partial small subunit ribosomal RNA". Lineage: Eukaryota; Metazoa; Arthropoda; Insecta; Hymenoptera; Vespidae. The record is from RNAcentral.